UCUCAGGGUGGCGAACUUUUCCUCUGAAUUCCUAACCUGUGAGCUUAUGAUGAUGGUGCCUGCGAAUUAACUGAACGACUGUGGUUUUGAACUUCUUGAGGCCAGGGACUGUGUUUGAAAGCACCUACAGUGGCUAACAUAAG
Molecule: non-coding RNA, 143 nt
Organism: Equus caballus (horse)
Lineage: Eukaryota; Metazoa; Chordata; Mammalia; Perissodactyla; Equidae
Source: RefSeq, a predicted model, not a curated record